This 864-nucleotide ribosomal RNA is filed under the name uncultured bacterium. RNAcentral describes it as "bacterial SSU rRNA". It matches the Rfam family "Bacterial small subunit ribosomal RNA", at positions 308 to 1197 of the family's 1533-position model. The record is from RNAcentral.
CCCCCUUGGGACUGAGACCCGGCCCCGACUUCUUCCGAAGGCCGCCGUGGGGGAUUUUGCCCCAUGGGGGAAACCCUGAUGCAGGGACCCCGCGUGAAGGAAGACGGCAUUUGGGUAGUAAACGUUUGUUUUGCGGGAAGAAUAAAGGCCGUUCCCGGAGGAGGAGCUCCGGCUUAAUUCGGUCCCACCACCCGCGUUAUUAGGUAGGUGCCAAGCUUAUUCGGGAUUUAUUGGGUGUAAGGGGAGGGUAGGCGUCGAGCCAAUUUGAAGGUAUAACCCAUGGGUUCACCCGAUAGUUGCGUUCAAAACUGCCACUCUUGAGUGCAGUAGAGGUAGGUGGAAUUCCUAGUGUAGCGGUGAAAUGCGUAGAUAUUAGGAGGAACACCAGUGGCGAAGGCGGCCUACUGGGCGGUCACUGACGCUGAGGCUCGAAAGCGUGGGUAGCAAACAGGAUUAGAUACCCUGGUAGUCCACGCCGUAAACGAUGAUUACUAGGUGUGGGCAGACAGGCCCCUUCCGUGCAGGAGUUAACACAAUAAGUAAUCCACUUGGGGAGUGCGGCCGCAAGGGUGAAACUCAAAGGAUUUGACGGGGGCCCGCGCCAGCAGUGGAGUAUGUGGUGUAAUUUGAAGCAACGAGAAGAUCCUCACCAGGUCUGGACAUCGAGAGAAGAAUUUAGAGAUAAGUUCUUCAUUCGGGACACGAAGACAGGGGGGGCAUGGUUGUCGUCAGUUAGUGUCGAGAGAUGUGGGGUUAAGUCCAGCAAGGAGCGCAAUCGUUAUCAUUGGGGGCUGUGCAAGAGCCCUCCAAUGAGUCAGCCGUGGAUAAAUCGGAGGAAGGUGGGGAUGAUGUCAAAUCAUCAUG